UAUCUGUGCAGUGGAUUUGUCAUUCAUUUUGCGUAUAAUGUGAGUUUGUGUCAUCCUAAAGUAUUUCUGUUUUCUCUUCCUGUAUCUCUGCCACUCUCUACAGAAGCAAACUAUUGAAAAGGGGAGGGAGUGUGUCCUCAGGGCACUACCUUUUUACCUGAAUGAAGACCCAAGCAUCCUCUUCAAAGAAUAAUUGCUACAGCUACAGCUGUUCAGAGGGAGCUGGAACAAAUUACCCUUGCUAUCUUCACCAUCGAAAAAGCUGAUGUCAGCACUCCUCCAGCCGAUGUGGGUAUAACCAUCUAGGGUGUUCUGCAUGACCUGGAAGACAUGGCCUCUGCAUGUGCACUCUUAAUGGGUGGGAUAUAUGCACUGAAUCUCAGUUAACCUCGAGACUGAAAGCUUUCUUUGAAGUACUUCAGAAGCUCUUCCUUCAUCUGUAUGUCAGCAGACUCUUGACCAAGAAAUCCCACCUCUCCUUCUGGCUACAGAGCACUUACUUACCAAGCCCAUGAAAUCGAAUGCAGAUCUUCCUGAUGUGAGAUUUACAUGAAUCUAAGGUUGCAGCCACUUGGCCCCACCCCAUUGUUGUGACAGCCCUGAUUGUCCUUGUACACUGCAUCUGAGCAGGGAACAGUCUCAACCUCAUGCUGCCCUCUCCCAUUCUCCUAAACCUGUGGAUACAAAUACAGAUGUCCUUAAUGUUCAGUGGUGCGUGUUCUUCUAAUGGCCGCCUUCCCACUGGAGGUUUUGAUCCACAGCAAUUUAAAAGGAGGACAGAACAAAACGGACAUUGGCGCAGAGUGAAGAACUGCCCUAGGACACUAUGACAGCCAUAUAUAUGGCAGUAAGGAAGAGGUUUCCCAAUGUGUCCAGAAGGGCUUUGAAGAUUGCAGUGAAAGCUGGGGGAACUGAGACUGCUGGAAAAGGAAAAGAAAUUACAUUUUAAGUAUGUUGACUUAUGUUCAUACAAUCACACACACAUAUACACAUACAUAUAUAUAUACAGUGGAACCCCGACUUACGAAUACCCCGUUUAACGAAAAAUUCAAGUUACAAAGGCACUGAACGGCAAUAUUUCUGCCCUUGUUAUGGCAA
Molecule: long non-coding RNA, 1098 nt
Organism: Oreochromis aureus
Lineage: Eukaryota; Metazoa; Chordata; Actinopteri; Cichliformes; Cichlidae
Source: Ensembl